GGAGUUGUGGCUUAGUGGUAGAGCACUUGCCUAGCAUGUGUGAGGCACUGGGUUCAAUUCUCAGCACCA
This 69-nucleotide transfer RNA is filed under the name Ictidomys tridecemlineatus (thirteen-lined ground squirrel). RNAcentral describes it as "Spermophilus tridecemlineatus (thirteen-lined ground squirrel) tRNA". It matches the Rfam family "tRNA". Rfam says of the family: Transfer RNA (tRNA) molecules are approximately 80 nucleotides in length. Lineage: Eukaryota; Metazoa; Chordata; Mammalia; Rodentia; Sciuridae. The record is from Rfam by way of RNAcentral.